RNAcentral lists this long non-coding RNA (348 nucleotides) under Malus domestica (apple). RNAcentral's name for it is "long non-coding RNA (MDOM_LNC021159)". Lineage: Eukaryota; Viridiplantae; Streptophyta; Magnoliopsida; Rosales; Rosaceae. The record is from RNAcentral.
GCGAAGGGCUCUACUGAUCACAAUUAUCCACCGAGUGGUGUCUACAUCACUCACAAUAAGCCAUUGGCAUAAGUGGUCAGGUGCUGGUUGGGUCUUCUAGAGAUUGCAGGUUUAACUCACUGCUCGCCGAAAAUGAGUACGGGAGGAAUGGCCGAGGUUUUCCUACUGAGGUUUUUCCCACAGGGUUUCCCCUUAGGUUUUCCCUCGGCCCGUGGCCUUUGGGUCACGGUGAAUACGUUCCUACCCAUUCGACCCGAUGUAACUAGCUGGCUCGAACGUAGGUAUUGGGAAAAGUCGGGCACCGGAUGGGCAUUGCUGUAGAUUGGGGGAUCAUGUAUUCUAGAUAUC